GAUGAAGAACGUAGUAAAAUGCGAUAAGUAAUGUGAAUUGCAGAAUUCAGUGAAUCAUCGAAUCUUUGAACGCACAUUGCGCCCGCUGGUAUUCCGGCGGGCAUGCCUGUUCGAGCGUCAUUUCAACCCUCAAGCCCCCGGGUUUGGUGUUGGGGAUCGGCUCUGCCCUUCUAGGCGGUGCCGCCCCCGAAAUACAUUGGCGGUCUCGCUGCAGCCUCCAUUGCGUAGUAGCUAACACCUCGCAACUGGAACGCGGCGCGGCCAUGCCGUAAAACCCCAACUUCUGAAUGUUGACCUCGGAUCAGGUAGGAAUACCCGCUGAACUUAAGCAUAUCAAUAAGCGGAGGA
This 348-nucleotide unclassified non-coding RNA is filed under the name soil metagenome. Its description in RNAcentral is "partial contains 5.8S ribosomal RNA, internal transcribed spacer 2, and large subunit ribosomal RNA". The stretch from base 1 to 120 matches the Rfam family "5.8S ribosomal RNA", at positions 35 to 154 of the family's 154-position model. The record is from RNAcentral.